AGUGAACGCUGGCGGCAGGCCUAACACAUGCAAGUCGAGCGGCAGCACAGUAAGAGUUUGCCCUUACGGGUGGCGAGUGGCGGAUGGGUGAGGCAUACAUCGGAUUCUUCUUUUUCGUGGGUGAUAACGUAGGGCAACUUACGCUAACACCGCAUACGACUUACCGGUCAGAGCAGGGGAUCUUCGCACCUUGCGCGUUUUUUUGAGUCGAUGUCGGAUUAGCUAGUUGGCGAGGUAAAGGCCCACCAAGGCGACGAUCCGUAGCUGGUCUGAGAGGAUGGUCAGCCACACUGGAACUGAGACACGGUCCAGACUCCGACGGGAGGCAGCAGUGGGGAAUAUUGGACAAUGGGCGAAAGCCUGAUCGAGCAAUACCGCGUGGGUGAUGAAGGCCUUCGGGUUGUAAAGCCCUUUUGUUGGGAAAGAAAAGCAGCAGAUUUAUACCCGGCCGUUCUGACGGUACCCAAAGAAUAAGCCCCGGCUAACUUCGUG
Molecule: ribosomal RNA, 492 nt
Filed under: uncultured bacterium
Lineage: Bacteria
Description: partial 16S ribosomal RNA
Rfam family: Bacterial small subunit ribosomal RNA
Source: RNAcentral